Molecule: long non-coding RNA, 505 nt
Organism: Tupaia belangeri chinensis (Chinese tree shrew)
Lineage: Eukaryota; Metazoa; Chordata; Mammalia; Scandentia; Tupaiidae
Exons: 5
Source: RefSeq, a predicted model, not a curated record
GUUAAAGAACACUCCAGGACCCUCAGCUCUAUGAGGACACUGAAGCUAAGAGAAGUUGAGUGACUGGCGUGAUGUCAUGUGUCUUCCCAAUCUUCCUCAUCCUCAAAUCAAUGUUGAAGAAGCAACUAGUAAAUUCAGAAGAUCUGAAGCCUUGUAGCUUCUAUCAAGAGUCUCCUCCAUUGAAUAGAGUCUUGAGAGGCUAAUGAACCAACGGAUUCCUACAACACCAUUUGAGCCUGUGAUUAUCUCCAAAUGGGAAGUGGAACUUACAGUCUAAUAAGAAGAUGGACCAUCAAAGCGACAAUUCAGAAACAGUGCGAGAAAUAAGGGAUUCUCUGAAGGACUCAAGAGGCCAUUCACAUUCUAUGACUCCUGAAUGGCCAAGUAGUAAUGGGAUAAGAGAGGAAACAUUUGACAUCUUUAUGACUCUAAGAAGUUGGCUGCAGAUUCCUUCAGGAAGAACUAUGUCAGAUUCCAACUAUACCUGCCUUUUGUGACAACCAUA